Molecule: long non-coding RNA, 2397 nt
Filed under: Mytilus galloprovincialis (Mediterranean mussel)
Lineage: Eukaryota; Metazoa; Mollusca; Bivalvia; Mytilida; Mytilidae
Source: RNAcentral
UUAACAAAAACUUGUAGUGUUACAAUGAGAGAUGAGAAAAUCAACCAAAAUAGUAAAAUACAUAAAUAAACAGUAUCACGUUAUACUGGAAUAAACUUGAUGCAUGAUAUUACUAAAUAAAAAAGAUUGAUAGAUUCUAUGCCGUUUAUUAAACAAAACAAGUAUCAUUCAAUAAAAAAUUAAAGUAAUAAAGAACAAUCAAUAAUGUCAUUACAAAAUUUAUAAAGGGUUUCACAUGACCCAGUGUCUCACCUGCAAUUACUGCUGUUCGUGUAUAAGUGAAACAUUGACUGACAGAAAAAUGUGGAAAAUACUAGUUAGCUUUUCUCAAGAUGCUAUCUCUUGAUCAUGAAGAAGCUUCUGUUCAAGCUUUUUAAAAUACCAUGAAGGUUUGGAUAAUAUAUCUUAAUGUUAGCUGCUUAAAACAAUCAUGAAUAAAUACAAGAAAAAAAAUCUUUUCACUUUGAUAUUUUCUUGACAAAGUAAAAUCAACUUUAACCUCAGAAUAACCAUAAACAUAACAACAAAAGGCCAAUUAAAAUUAACUGAUACAUUUUUUACUUCAGCCGCCCUUAAUUCUAAAUCAAAUUUUACAAAUUUCUGAUUUUGUUCAUAAGGGUGCUGAUUUUUAAGUUCCAUACAAAACUUUCCGUUCCAUGUUUUCAGUUAAUAACAAGCUACAUUGCAAACUUGCACACUAACGAAUCUUAAAAGCAUCAGCAGCUACAGACUGUUUUUUUAUACCUUUGUCUGCCAUUAUUCUUGCUGAAUGCACUACAAACUGCAGCUUGAAAAGACCAUAUUUUUACUGUUUGAGUACAAAUUUUACUUGACAAGUCUAAACCUUAUCUCAACAGUAUUUAACCCUACUAAUUUGGUCUCUACUUUACUUAAAAAGUCUGAAUUUGGUCUCGAUCAAUGCUCAACCAGUCUUCAUUUUGAUAUCAAUCUGAUGUGGAUGUUAUCACUACAAAUUCACUUGAAGGUCUUAUGGUGUUUCUGAAUAUCUGCUUUAUUAAAAGGACACUAGCUCAGAAAGCGAAAGAAAUUUGAAACUAGUAGUCAAAAAUGGAGCAAUGUCAAACAUUUUUUGCUGCUUACUGAAAAUUGGUUCAUGAAGCAAUUAGAACAGAGGUUGCCAAUCAUAAACAUUAUUUAAGAAUUUUGAAAAAAAUGUAGAAUAUUUACUGUAAAUUCAUAAAUUAUUGCCAUGUUUUUAUUAUUGGGUUAUAAUCCCAAUAAUUUAAACUCACAUUUUGAAAUACUUUACAUGAAUUAAACAGGAUUUUUCUCAAUUUCACCAAAAUUAAAGUAGUAUUUUUAGUCCAAAAUGACAUAAAAGCAAUAAUAAAUGCAAGCUAUAAUUUCCAAAUUUACAGUAUUAAUUUCCUAACAUUGGUUUCCUUUGUCUCACUCAGAGUAAUUGCAGGCAAGACAGUUGCCAAGAAAUACAAAGUUAUUUACAACAAACACUAAAUAUAAAAGUGUAUACAGUGACAUAUGCACUUAACAAACUUUAAAAACAUAUACAUGUAUAUAAAAAGACUGUUCUAAUAAAUGACAAUAUAACAAUGUGAUUUUGAUGAAAAAAAUCCUAUGAUUAGAAAAACUUCAUUACUUUAUGUAGUGUGAUAAACUAGCUGCUUAAAUUCUUGUAUUCUACAUUAAUAGUCAUAAAAAUCAUAUCAAUCAAUAUUCAUUAAUGAUAAAAUAAUACUUAACAAAUGAUGAGGGACACAAGAUGACAAAGGACUAAAGCUUGACUGCUUCUAUGUGUUAGUUGAGCUAAAAAUGACGUUCAACUUGUCCAGAAGCUGUCUUCACUAGUUUUCGAGGAAAAAACAUUCAGCAUGAUCAUUAAUAAUUCAAAUAAAAAAUUUAACCAAUAUAUCUUAACAGUUAUACUAUGACCAAAUAAUACACUUGGUCUACAUUAAACAUGUGAUGAGAAUACUAAUGAAAAUUUCAUCAUGCAAAAUGAUUUAAUUAUUUCAAAAAACACAGAGCAUGUUUACACAACAAAUACUGAACAUGUUCCUAAAACAUUUGCUAAUUUAUAUCAACAAACAUAGCCUGACUUGCUUGGCAUUGAUUUUCUCUGCUAAGUUCUGUAUACGGACCAAUCUGACUUUAUCGGGAUUAUCUGCAUUGAAGAUUCUAUAUACAUGGAAUUUGUCUUUGUUCUCUUGGGCAAAUUUGAUCUGAGGAUAUGAGAUUUCAAAAAUCUCCUUUGUACUAGACAGAGUACUUUUAACUUCAAUGUAAACAGUAAAUUCCUGGUCUUCAGUCACUACACCUACUUCAAAGUCAUAAGGUUGUCCCAGCUCCUCAUCUUCAUUGCACCAAUUAACAAANNNNNNNNNNNNNNNNNNNNNNNNNNNNNNNNNNNNNNNNNNN